RNAcentral lists this transfer RNA (69 nucleotides) under Sphaerodactylus townsendi. RNAcentral's name for it is "tRNA-Gly". Lineage: Eukaryota; Metazoa; Chordata; Lepidosauria; Squamata; Sphaerodactylidae. The record is from RNAcentral.
GCUCUGGCUCAGUGGCAGAGUAUCUGCUUGCCAUGCAGAAGGUCUCCAGUUGAAUCCCUGGCAUCUGCA